Molecule: unclassified non-coding RNA, 347 nt
Filed under: soil metagenome
Description: partial contains 5.8S ribosomal RNA, internal transcribed spacer 2, and large subunit ribosomal RNA
Rfam family: 5.8S ribosomal RNA (bases 1-120)
Source: RNAcentral
GAUGAAGAACGUAGCGAAAUGCGAUAAGUAAUGUGAAUUGCAGAAUUCCGUGAAUCAUCGAGUCUUUGAACGCACAUUGCGCCCCCUGGUAUUCCGGGGGGCAUGCCUGUCCGAGCGUCAUUGCUGCCCAUCAAGCACGGCUUGUGUGUUGGGUCCCGUCCCCCUCUCCCGGGGGACGGACCCGAAAGGCAGCGGCGGCACCGCGUCCGGUCCUCGAGCGUAUGGGGCUUUGUCACCCGCUCUUGUAGGCCCGGCCGGCGCUUGCCGACACCCAACCAUUUUUUUCAGGUUGACCUCGGAUCAGGUAGGGAUACCCGCUGAACUUAAGCAUAUCAAUAAGCGGAGGA